UACGGAGGGUGCAAGCGUUAUCCGGAUUUAUUGGGUUUAAAGGGUCCGUAGGCGGAUCUGUAAGUCAGUGGUGAAAUCUCAUAGCUUAACUAUGAAACUGCCAUUGAUACUGCAGGUCUUGAGUGAGAUUGAGGUAGCUGGAAUAAGUAGUGUAGCGGUGAAAUGCAUAGAUAUUACUUAGAACACCAAUUGCGAAGGCAGGUUACCAAGUCUUAACUGAACGCUGAUGGACGAAAGCGAUGGGAGCGUAACGGAGGA
This 258-nucleotide ribosomal RNA is filed under the name uncultured bacterium. Its description in RNAcentral is "partial 16S ribosomal RNA". It matches the Rfam family "Bacterial small subunit ribosomal RNA", at positions 524 to 780 of the family's 1533-position model. The record is from RNAcentral.